Molecule: ribosomal RNA, 2752 nt
Filed under: Staphylococcus aureus
Lineage: Bacteria; Bacillati; Bacillota; Bacilli; Caryophanales; Staphylococcaceae
Description: bacterial LSU rRNA
Rfam family: Bacterial large subunit ribosomal RNA
Source: RNAcentral
UAUCAGAAGGCACACCCGGAGAACUGAAACAUCUUAGUACCCGGAGGAAGAGAAAGAAAAUUCGAUUCCCUUAGUAGCGGCGAGCGAAACGGGAAGAGCCCAAACCAACAAGCUUGCUUGUUGGGGUUGUAGGACACUCUAUACGGAGUUACAAAGGACGACAUUAGACGAAUCAUCUGGAAAGAUGAAUCAAAGAAGGUAAUAAUCCUGUAGUCGAAAAUGUUGUCUCUCUUGAGUGGAUCCUGAGUACGACGGAGCACGUGAAAUUCCGUCGGAAUCUGGGAGGACCAUCUCCUAAGGCUAAAUACUCUCUAGUGACCGAUAGUGAACCAGUACCGUGAGGGAAAGGUGAAAAGCACCCCGGAAGGGGAGUGAAAUAGAACCUGAAACCGUGUGCUUACAAGUAGUCAGAGCCCGUUAAUGGGUGAUGGCGUGCCUUUUGUAGAAUGAACCGGCGAGUUACGAUUUGAUGCAAGGUUAAGCAGUAAAUGUGGAGCCGUAGCGAAAGCGAGUCUGAAUAGGGCGUUUAGUAUUUGGUCGUAGACCCGAAACCAGGUGAUCUACCCUUGGUCAGGUUGAAGUUCAGGUAACACUGAAUGGAGGACCGAACCGACUUACGUUGAAAAGUGAGCGGAUGAACUGAGGGUAGCGGAGAAAUUCCAAUCGAACCUGGAGAUAGCUGGUUCUCUCCGAAAUAGCUUUAGGGCUAGCCUCAAGUGAUGAUUAUUGGAGGUAGAGCACUGUUUGGACGAGGGGCCCCUCUCGGGUUACCGAAUUCAGACAAACUCCGAAUGCCAAUUAAUUUAACUUGGGAGUCAGAACAUGGGUGAUAAGGUCCGUGUUCGAAAGGGAAACAGCCCAGACCACCAGCUAAGGUCCCAAAAUAUAUGUUAAGUGGAAAAGGAUGUGGCGUUGCCCAGACAACUAGGAUGUUGGCUUAGAAGCAGCCAUCAUUUAAAGAGUGCGUAAUAGCUCACUAGUCGAGUGACACUGCGCCGAAAAUGUACCGGGGCUAAACAUAUUACCGAAGCUGUGGAUUGUCCUUUGGACAAUGGUAGGAGAGCGUUCUAAGGGCGUUGAAGCAUGAUCGUAAGGACAUGUGGAGCGCUUAGAAGUGAGAAUGCCGGUGUGAGUAGCGAAAGACGGGUGAGAAUCCCGUCCACCGAUUGACUAAGGUUUCCAGAGGAAGGCUCGUCCGCUCUGGGUUAGUCGGGUCCUAAGCUGAGGCCGACAGGCGUAGGCGAUGGAUAACAGGUUGAUAUUCCUGUACCACCUAUAAUCGUUUUAAUCGAUGGGGGGACGCAGUAGGAUAGGCGAAGCGUGCGAUUGGAUUGCACGUCUAAGCAGUAAGGCUGAGUAUUAGGCAAAUCCGGUACUCGUUAAGGCUGAGCUGUGAUGGGGAGAAGACAUUGUGUCUUCGAGUCGUUGAUUUCACACUGCCGAGAAAAGCCUCUAGAUAGAAAAUAGGUGCCCGUACCGCAAACCGACACAGGUAGUCAAGAUGAGAAUUCUAAGGUGAGCGAGCGAACUCUCGUUAAGGAACUCGGCAAAAUGACCCCGUAACUUCGGGAGAAGGGGUGCUCUUUAGGGUUAACGCCCAGAAGAGCCGCAGUGAAUAGGCCCAAGCGACUGUUUAUCAAAAACACAGGUCUCUGCUAAACCGUAAGGUGAUGUAUAGGGGCUGACGCCUGCCCGGUGCUGGAAGGUUAAGAGGAGUGGUUAGCUUCUGCGAAGCUACGAAUCGAAGCCCCAGUAAACGGCGGCCGUAACUAUAACGGUCCUAAGGUAGCGAAAUUCCUUGUCGGGUAAGUUCCGACCCGCACGAAAGGCGUAACGAUUUGGGCACUGUCUCAACGAGAGACUCGGUGAAAUCAUAGUACCUGUGAAGAUGCAGGUUACCCGCGACAGGACGGAAAGACCCCGUGGAGCUUUACUGUAGCCUGAUAUUGAAAUUCGGCACAGCUUGUACAGGAUAGGUAGGAGCCUUUGAAACGUGAGCGCUAGCUUACGUGGAGGCGCUGGUGGGAUACUACCCUAGCUGUGUUGGCUUUCUAACCCGCACCACUUAUCGUGGUGGGAGACAGUGUCAGGCGGGCAGUUUGACUGGGGCGGUCGCCUCCUAAAAGGUAACGGAGGCGCUCAAAGGUUCCCUCAGAAUGGUUGGAAAUCAUUCAUAGAGUGUAAAGGCAUAAGGGAGCUUGACUGCGAGACCUACAAGUCGAGCAGGGUCGAAAGACGGACUUAGUGAUCCGGUGGUUCCGCAUGGAAGGGCCAUCGCUCAACGGAUAAAAGCUACCCCGGGGAUAACAGGCUUAUCUCCCCCAAGAGUUCACAUCGACGGGGAGGUUUGGCACCUCGAUGUCGGCUCAUCGCAUCCUGGGGCUGUAGUCGGUCCCAAGGGUUGGGCUGUUCGCCCAUUAAAGCGGUACGCGAGCUGGGUUCAGAACGUCGUGAGACAGUUCGGUCCCUAUCCGUCGUGGGCGUAGGAAAUUUGAGAGGAGCUGUCCUUAGUACGAGAGGACCGGGAUGGACAUACCUCUGGUGUACCAGUUGUCGUGCCAACGGCAUAGCUGGGUAGCUAUGUGUGGACGGGAUAAGUGCUGAAAGCAUCUAAGCAUGAAGCCCCCCUCAAGAUGAGAUUUCCCAACUUCGGUUAUAAGAUCCCUCAAAGAUGAUGAGGUUAAUAGGUUCGAGGUGGAAGCAUGGUGACAUGUGGAGCUGACGAAUACUAAUCGAUCGAAGACUUAAUCAA